AGGGAAUCUUCCGCAAUGGGCGAAAGCCUGACGGAGCAACGCCGCGUGAGUGAAGAAGGAUUUCGGUUCGUAAAGCUCUGUUGUUAGGGAAGAAUGAUUGUAUAGUAACUAUAUGCAGUAGAGACGGUACCUAACCAGAAAGCCACGGCUAACUACGUGCCAGCAGCCGCGGUAAUACGUAGGUGGCAAGCGUUGUCCGGAAUUAUUGGGCGUAAAGCGCGCGCAGGUGGUUUAAUAAGUCUGAUGUGAAAGCCCACGGCUCAACCGUGGAGGGUCAUUGGAAACUGUUAAACUUGAGUGCAGGAGAGAAAAGUGGAAUUCCUAGUGUAGCGGUGAAAUGCGUAGAGAUUAGGAGGAACACCAGUGGCGAAGGCGGCUUUUUGGCCUGUAACUGACACUGAGGCGCGAAAGCGUGGGGAGCAAACAGGAUUAGAUACCCUGGUAGUCCACGCCGUAAACGAUGAGUGCUAAGUGUUGGUCUCAUAAGAGAUCAGUGCUGCAGCUAACGCAUUAAGCACUCCGCCUGGGGAGUACGACCGCAAGGUUG
Molecule: ribosomal RNA, 547 nt
Filed under: uncultured bacterium
Lineage: Bacteria
Description: bacterial SSU rRNA
Rfam family: Bacterial small subunit ribosomal RNA
Source: RNAcentral